This 718-nucleotide long non-coding RNA is filed under the name Anser brachyrhynchus (Pink-footed goose). RNAcentral's name for it is "lncRNA (ENSABRG00000006653.1)". Lineage: Eukaryota; Metazoa; Chordata; Aves; Anseriformes; Anatidae. The record is from RNAcentral.
CACAACUCUUUAUUUAUUUGAUUUUUUAUCUAUAUGCCAGAUAGGGCUGGCUGUUGUAAUAGGAGCCACCAGCAGCCCUGGAUGGAGAAAAGAUGGUCCAGGAGACAGACAUACCUACAAUGCUGCAUAGGCCAGGCCUGGGUGCUGGGCCUGAGCUUACAUGGAUCCUGGGGAGAUGAGCAGGCCUGUGUGGCUGAGGGUCCUAGCUGAGGCCACUCAGGGCAAUGGCAGCCUACAGGUGCCCUCAGGGCUGUCACACUUGGAGGUGCUUUGGUUUAAAUUGGACAUAAUGCAUGGGAAUAGGGCUGCUUAGGUUCUGGUUGGGUGGUUCUUCCUUUUUGUGUGCCUGCCCUGAUAGUGCUGCAUGUAUGGGGGGAAAUAGACUGGCUACAGCACCCCAAGGGUCUGUUUGUCUUUCCUUUGAAACUACAACGUGGUGGAUUCAGCAACAUGAGUUCUUCAGCCCUGGAAAGAAUCCAAAUCAUAUGGAGCUUGACUCUGGAGAAAGUGUUAACAACAGGCUAAGGCUGUGCUCCCAGAGAAGAUGUGGACCUGCGUUUAAUUGGACUCCUCUCAAAUAGCCCUGCUGUCCUCAGUUGGGGGUCUGUCCAUGCAGAUGGACAGGCUUAUACUGAAACACCUGCAAGACUGGCUUAAAGAUUGACCUGAACCACUAACAGUAUUUUGGAGUCAACAAAAUCCUAAAUUAUCAGUUCCC